GAUUCCCUGAGUAGCGGCGAGCGAAACGGGACCAGCCCAAACCAAGAGGCUUGCCUCUUGGGGUUGUAGGACACUCUGUACGGAGUUACAAAGGAACGAGGUAGAUGAAGAGGUCUGGAAAGGCCCGCCAUAGGAGGUAACAGCCCUGUAGUCAAAACUUCGUUCUCUCCUGAGUGGAUCCUGAGUACGGCGGAACACGUGAAAUUCCGUCGGAAUCCGGGAGGACCAUCUCCCAAGGCUAAAUACUCCCUAGUGACCGAUAGUGAACCAGUACCGUGAGGGAAAGGUGAAAAGCACCCCGGAAGGGGAGUGAAAGAGAUCCUGAAACCGUGUGCCUACAAGUAGUCAGAGCCCGUUAACGGGUGAUGGCGUGCCUUUUGUAGAAUGAACCGGCGAGUUACGAUCCCGUGCAAGGUUAAGCAGAAGAUGCGGAGCCGCAGCGAAAGCGAGUCUGA
This 455-nucleotide ribosomal RNA is filed under the name Bacillus sp. (in: firmicutes). RNAcentral's name for it is "bacterial LSU rRNA". It matches the Rfam family "Bacterial large subunit ribosomal RNA", at positions 233 to 686 of the family's 2925-position model. Lineage: Bacteria; Bacillati; Bacillota; Bacilli; Caryophanales; Bacillaceae. The record is from RNAcentral.